AUCUGGGGCAGGUGUGGGCAGGAUUCCAAAUGAUUUAUUUAACCGAUUAAAAUACCUAUGGUUGUUGGAUCUGAGCAACAGUGGCAUAGAAGAAUUGCCAGAUUCAGUUGGUAAGCUAGUUCACCUGAGAUACCUUAGCCUUGCUGGAACCAAUGUCAAAGAGCUACCUGAAUCUGUAGAAAACCUGUACAAUUUGCAGACUUUGGAGCUCAAAUUUUGCUACAACCUUUUAUCGUUACCGCAAGGAACAAAUAACUUGGUCAACCUAAGGCAUCUCAUUUUGCAUCUUGAUUGGGAACAGAUUGAGGAUUUGAGUUCCAUGCCUACUGGAAUCAAUUACUUGACUUCUCUGAAGACAUUGUCAAGAUUCACUGUGACCAAGGAGGAUGGCUACAACCUAAGGGAAUUGAAGGACUUGAACCUUCAUGGGGAGCUCUGCAUCUGCAAGCUUGAAAACAUUACAAAUGCAAGUGAUGCUAGAGAAGCUAAUUUGAGGGCAAAGGAUCACAUUGACAGGCUGAUGCUGCGGUGGAGCAAUGAUUCCUCUAGUAUGCAACAAGGCACAGAUAAUUGGAAGGUAGUUGCUGAUGAAUUGCAGCCACAUCAGUAUCUAAAAUGCCUGUGGAUCUUGAAUUAUCCUGGUAGCGAAUUUCCUGAUUGGCUGGCGGACACUUGUUUCUCGAGUAUAGAAAUGGUGAGGCUAUCUUGUUCUGAAGAGUGUGAAUUAUUGCCACCACUUGGGCUGCUACCUAAGCUCAAACACUUGCAUAUAGAAGGGAUGAAGAAAUUGAGAAACUUGGAUUAUAUGAUGGGGUUUCCAUCUCUGGAGACUCUUACGAUAAAAGACAUGCCUGUUUUGGAAACAUUUUGUGAAUUUGUAGAUGAUGAAUUUCCUGAGCUCAUUCAGAUUGCUAUUUCUGGGUGCCCCAAUUUACCUAAUACUGAGGUUGAAUAUUCCUGGGAGGAUAUAUGUUUCAAGAAAUUGAUGCACCAUCCACUGCCAAUGGCAAUGGAAAUGAUAGGUAUUGAUCUCUCAUUCUGGGUAUUAGCAAUGCGUUUGAUGAUUUGUGUGUUUACUAUCCAGGCUCAGCCAUUGUUUUUUUUCUUCUGUCAUUUCUUGAAUUACUUGGCAUGUAUUUCCUAUGCUCCGUAAGAUUGUCAUAUCUCUGUGCCCCAAUUUACGUGAUAGGCUAGAUGUUAUCAAAAUGUCCUUUUGCAGUUCAGGGGAGUUCACAAAGAGUGACCCAAUCUAUUUUUUUUUAACUGAGUUUUUGCUAGUUUAUAUACAGAACCUCUGCUUUCUACUUUUAUUUUUAUUAAUGUUUUCCAUAUAAAUCUGAAGACAAUAGUUCAGCCUACAUUACUAAUGAAUUAAUGUCUUAUUGUCAUUUUCUUGGUUCUUCAACUUCAAGAUUAUGCAAAGCAUCCUUCGGUAAAGUUUAAGAAAUUGCAACAUUGCAACAUUGAUUUUUGGAGAUUGAAAACACAGAUCUUGGUUGCAUGUCAGGCACAUACAAAAUACUUGUGUUACAUCUGAUGAAGGUUUGUAUGAAGGGUUUGAUUGGCUCUCCAGCAAUAUCAAGUAAUCAAAACUUCUUGAGACUUUUUAUCUCAGCAACAACAAUUGUUAGCAUUUGAUGCUCGGGCAACAUCGUGGAAGCAAGAAAACUGUCAUCGUGCCUCCUUUUUUUCUGCCUUAUGAAAACCUUAAUACUUGUCUGUAGAACAAAUACGUGUUUGGUUCACUUUUUUCUGCCUUGAUACCUUGAUUCUUUUUUCUGCCAGCACCUUAUUCUCUUUUCUGAAAGAGCUACAUAUAUUUUUUUUCCUGAAUUUAAUUUCAUUUGCAAUUUUGCUCGUCUGGUUUAUGGAUCUUGUGGUUAAAUUUGCUAUAUAAUUCAAGGCACAGCACACCAAAGUUUAUUAGCAUCACAUGAAAUAUGAAAGAUGAUAUAUUCUUAUUACUCAUCUGGAUUUCUAUAAGAGAAAGCAUUUUCCAAAUCAACUCUCUUGAUACUCAAGAUAUUAAUAAUAACCCAACCUUUUACCCUUCAUAAGCAAAUUAGUGUCAUUAUCUUGAGAAGACAAUAAUACGCAUCUAGCUUAGGCAUAUUUAAUAUGACAAAAUCCAUUGUAUGAUUGCUAUUAUUUUUGACUGGUUUAUGAUAAUUCAACAUAUAUUCGAAAAAUUAAUUGCUAAAAAUGUCAUAUCGUAGAUAAAUAAACCAAAGAGAAAUGAUAUGGCAGCGACAUUUUACCGUGACAAAGAAUCGUGACGUUGGCCACCUUUGUGGUGUUCAACUUCUUCGUCGUCUUCUUUAAUGUUCAAGUUUGCUAGGUGGAAUUCAAAUGUUCAGGAUCUUGAAGAAUUUGCCUUUUUUAUCCCAUCUUGUGUCUAUCUUACCAAUCAGUCUGUAUACUAUUGUUUUCUCAGUUGUUUGAAAUCUUAAUGGCUACAAACUUUCAUAGUAGUUAGAUUUGGAUUCAAAUCAGGGGAUCUGGUUAGUACUAGACUGCCAUUUUAAUAUCUAACCAAUCAAUCUGUUGUCAAUUAAAUGCCCUUUUACCUCUCCUACUAUAUUUCUACUGCAUUUUAAGUGUUUUUUAAUAGAAAAUACUAAGCAAAUACUGCUAUUUGUAAACCUCUUGUACACUAGUAGACCAAUUUGUAUACUGAGCUAUGGUUUCUGCUUCCGGUUCAUGUUUUUUCAUAGAGCUUGGCUCAGCAUCUAACACGAUAUUCUAAAAUCAUAGCUUGUGUCAUGUUUAAUCUCAUGCUAUUCCCCUAUUUGUUCGUAUAGGCAUGGGGAAUUCACUUGUUCUUUUGGUUGGUUUUUAAUAAAUGUAGGUGAAGAAAGUGUAAUGGAAGAAAGAAAAAUUGAUUCAAAUGAGAUAAGGGAUAACAAUGACCAUGCGGAUCAAGACUCAUCUCCAUCUAGCGUAAAUGAAAUCAAGCUUUCUGAAAUUGGAGUUGCUGGUUCUGAAAUUAAAUUGGUGGUUGAGCUCAUAUGUAUCUGAAACCUACUUCAUUGCUGAAAUUGCUAUUAGCAUGGUUA
RNA transcript from Zingiber officinale, 3056 nucleotides. It is a transcript of the gene named putative disease resistance RPP13-like protein 1, with no coding region annotated. The record is from RefSeq and is a predicted model, not a curated record. NCBI's taxonomy places the organism in Eukaryota, Viridiplantae, Streptophyta, Magnoliopsida, Zingiberales, Zingiberaceae. The transcript is spliced from 3 exons.